RNAcentral lists this ribosomal RNA (900 nucleotides) under Klebsiella sp. DB2. RNAcentral's name for it is "bacterial SSU rRNA". It matches the Rfam family "Bacterial small subunit ribosomal RNA", at positions 51 to 922 of the family's 1533-position model. Lineage: Bacteria; Pseudomonadati; Pseudomonadota; Gammaproteobacteria; Enterobacterales; Enterobacteriaceae. The record is from RNAcentral.
UCACGGGCUACAGGUAGAUCGAGCCUGCGCUCAGUAGUCGUAGCAAGGUAGAGUUCGUUCCUGGCUCAGUCAGUCGUAGGAAGGUAGGGAGAGAUAGUGCCUGAUGGAGUCGGACCAAGGUAGGUAACGAUAGCUAAUACCGCAUAACGUCGCAAGACCAAAGUGGGGGACCUUCGGGCCUCAUGCCAUCAGAUGUGCCCAGAUGGGAUUAGCUAGUAGGUGGGGUAAUGGCUCACCUAGGCGACGAUCCCUAGCUGGUCUGAGAGGAUGACCAGCCACACUGGAACUGAGACACGGUCCAGACUCCUACGGGAGGCAGCAGUGGGGAAUAUUGCACAAUGGGCGCAAGCCUGAUGCAGCCAUGCCGCGUGUAUGAAGAAGGCCUUCGGGUUGUAAAGUACUUUCAGCGAGGAGGAAGGCGUUAAGGUUAAUAACCUUGGCGAUUGACGUUACUCGCAGAAGAAGCACCGGCUAACUCCGUGCCAGCAGCCGCGGUAAUACGGAGGGUGCAAGCGUUAAUCGGAAUUACUGGGCGUAAAGCGCACGCAGGCGGUUUGUUAAGUCAGAUGUGAAAUCCCCGGGCUCAACCUGGGAACUGCAUUUGAAACUGGCAAGCUUGAGUCUUGUAGAGGGGGGUAGAAUUCCAGGUGUAGCGGUGAAAUGCGUAGAGAUCUGGAGGAAUACCGGUGGCGAAGGCGGCCCCCUGGACAAAGACUGACGCUCAGGUGCGAAAGCGUGGGGAGCAAACAGGAUUAGAUACCCCUGGUAGUCCACGCUGUAAACGAUGUCGACUUGGAGGUUGUUCCCUUGAGGAGUGCCUUCCGGAGCUAACGCGUUAAGUCGACCCGCCUGGGGAGUACGGCCGCAAGGUUAAAACCUCAAAUGAAUUGACGGGGGUCU